UGUUUGGGCCCUACGCAAUCUUAGUCAGUGAACCGUGUCAGGUCCGGAAGGAAGCAGCACUAAGUUGAUGAUGAUGUGCCGUAGAUCAGUCUAAACAACUU
This is a signal recognition particle RNA of 101 nucleotides. It matches the Rfam family "Bacterial small signal recognition particle RNA". Rfam says of the family: The signal recognition particle (SRP) is a universally conserved ribonucleoprotein involved in the co-translational targeting of proteins to membranes. Archaeal SRP consists of a 7S RNA and homologues of the eukaryotic SRP19 and SRP54 proteins. In most bacteria, the SRP consists of a 4.5S RNA and the Ffh protein (a homologue of the eukaryotic SRP54 protein).